This 449-nucleotide ribosomal RNA is filed under the name uncultured bacterium. RNAcentral's name for it is "bacterial SSU rRNA". It matches the Rfam family "Bacterial small subunit ribosomal RNA", at positions 328 to 794 of the family's 1533-position model. The record is from RNAcentral.
AUGCCAGACUCCUACGGGAGGCAGCAGUGGGGAAUAUUGCACAAUGGGGGGAACCCUGAUGCAGCGAUGCCGCGUGGAGGAAGAAGGUUUUCGGAUUGUAAACUCCUUUUAUCAGGGACGAUAAUGACGGUACCUGAAGAAAAAGCUCCGGCUAACUACGUGCCAGCAGCCGCGGUAAUACGUAGGGAGCGAGCGUUGUCCGGAAUUACUGGGUGUAAAGGGAGCGUAGGCGGGACGGCAAGUCUGGUGUGAAAACCCGGGGCUCAACCCCGGGACUGCAUUGGAAACUGCCGGGCUGGAGUGUCGGAGGGGUAAGCGGAAUUCCUAGUGUAGCGGUGAAAUGCGUAGAUAUUAGGAGGAACACCAGUGGCGAAGGCGGCUUACUGGACGAUGACUGACGCUGAGGCUCGAAAGCGUGGGGAGCAAACAGGAUUAGAUACCCGGGUACA